Molecule: ribosomal RNA, 650 nt
Filed under: uncultured Lachnospiraceae bacterium
Lineage: Bacteria; Bacillati; Bacillota; Clostridia; Lachnospirales; Lachnospiraceae
Description: bacterial SSU rRNA
Rfam family: Bacterial small subunit ribosomal RNA
Source: RNAcentral
AGCGCCUUUUGAGAUUCUUCGGAUGAUUGAUUGGUGACUGAGUGGCGGACGGGUGAGUAACGCGUGGGUAACCUGCCCUGUACAGGGGGAUAACAGCUGGAAACGGCUGCUAAUACCGCAUAAGCGCACGAGGAGACAUCUCCUAGUGUGAAAAACUCCGGUGGUACAGGAUGGGCCCGCGUCUGAUUAGCUGGUUGGCGGGGUAACGGCCUACCAAGGCAACGAUCAGUAGCCGGUCUGAGAGGAUGAACGGCCACAUUGGAACUGAGACACGGUCCAAACUCCUACGGGAGGCAGCAGUGGGGAAUAUUGCACAAUGGGGGAAACCCUGAUGCAGCAACGCCGCGUGAGUGAAGAAGUAUUUCGGUAUGUAAAGCUCUAUCAGCAGGGAAGAUAAUGACGGUACCUGACUAAGAAGCUCCGGCUAAAUACGUGCCAGCAGCCGCGGUAAUACGUAUGGAGCAAGCGUUAUCCGGAUUUACUGGGUGUAAAGGGUGCGUAGGUGGCAGUGCAAGUCAGAUGUGAAAGGCCGGGGCUCAACCCCGGAGCUGCAUUUGAAACUGCAUAGCUGGAGUACAGGAGAGGCAGGCGGAAUUCCUAGUGUAGCGGUGAAAUGCGUAGAUAUUAGGAGGAACACCAGUGGCGAAGGC